This 467-nucleotide long non-coding RNA is filed under the name Numida meleagris (helmeted guineafowl). RNAcentral's name for it is "lncRNA (ENSNMEG00000005296.1)". Lineage: Eukaryota; Metazoa; Chordata; Aves; Galliformes; Numididae. The record is from RNAcentral.
CUGAAAUGAGGUUUUCUGAAGAUUUACUCCUUCAGAAAUACAGUGUUAUGAUACCCGGUGUUACAAUUGCAAAGAGAUGGAGACACUCUUGUAUUGGAAGCCUCAAAGAAUGACACACAACCAGGUAUUACCCAGCUGAAGCAAGCAAAAUCUAGAAGAUUUCUGUACUCCUUUGGCAGUUGGAAUAAUCUGCACUGGUAAAUGCUCAACUUGAUUGGUAAUGCCAUUAAAAACUGUUCAUCACUUACAUGCAGAAGUUGCCUGAUAGUUGUACUUCACUGAGAGUUACUUCCAUCUUUACACAUAAAUCCAGUUUUUGGGUUAUUUUGGGGAGUUGGUCGGCUAUAGUAGAUACACUGCUACCUGUGUUUCAGACACUUCUGUAUCUGCACACAUUCCUUGCAUCACUUCGUGUCUUUUAUUGGGAGAUGAAGACUUGGAAUUUGCGGUCAUUCUUCUGGAGGUAG